UACGUAGGGGGCUAGCGUUGUCCGGAUUUAUUGGGCGUAAAGAGCUCGUAGGCGGCUCGUUGCGUCGGCUGUGAAAACCCGCAGCUCAACUGUGGGCUUGCAGCUGAUACGGGCGGGCUGGGAUUCGGUAGGGGAGACUGGAAUUCCUGGUGUAGCGGUGAAAUGCGCAGAUAUCAGGAGGAACACCGGUGGCGAAGGCGGGUCUCUGGGCCGAUAUCGACGCUGAGGAGCGAAAGCGUGGGGAGCGAACAGG
RNAcentral lists this ribosomal RNA (253 nucleotides) under uncultured bacterium. Its description in RNAcentral is "partial 16S ribosomal RNA". It matches the Rfam family "Bacterial small subunit ribosomal RNA", at positions 524 to 776 of the family's 1533-position model. The record is from RNAcentral.